RNAcentral lists this ribosomal RNA (1241 nucleotides) under metagenome. Its description in RNAcentral is "bacterial LSU rRNA". It matches the Rfam family "Bacterial large subunit ribosomal RNA", at positions 1564 to 2815 of the family's 2925-position model. The record is from RNAcentral.
UGAAUACGAGACGCUAAGGCGUCGAAGUAGUGUAUGUCAUACUUCCAAGAAAAGCUUGCACUGUCAUAGAUAAAAAACGCCUGUACCAUAACCGACACAGGUGGGUAGGUAGAGUAUACUAAGGGGCGCGAGAUAACUCUCUCUAAGGAACUCGGCAAAAUAACUCCGUAACUUCGGGAGAAGGAGUGCCUUAUUCUUAAGGUUGCAAUAACAAGAUCCAAGCAACUGUUUAUCAAAAACACAGGUCUCCGCUAAGUCGUAAGACGAUGUAUGGGGGCUGACGCCUGCCCAGUGCCAGAAGGUUAAGGAAGCUGGUUAGCAUUUGCGAAGCUAGUAACUGAAGCCCUGGUGAACGGCGGCCGUAACGAUAACGGUCCUAAGGUAGCGAAAUUCCUUGUCGGGUAAGUUCCGACCCGCACGAAAGGCGUAAUGAUUUGGAUACUGUCUCGGAGAGGGGCUCGGUGAAAUAGACCUGUCUGUGAAGAUGCGGACUACCUGCACCAGGACAGAAAGACCCUAUGAAGCUUUACUGUAACUUGAAAUUGAAAUUGGACUUUAUUUGCGCAGUAUAGGUGGGAGGCGUUGAUUAUAAUCUUGCGGGAUUAUUGGAGCCAUUAGUGAGAUACCACUCUUGUAAUGUUAGAUUUCUAACUUUGAAUCAUUAUCUGGUCAAAGAACAGUUUCAGGCGGGCAGUUUGACUGGGGCGGUCGCCUCCUAAACGGUAACGGAGGCGUACAAAGGUUUCCUCUGAACGGUUAGAAAUCGUAUCUAGAGUGUAAAGGCAUAAGGAAGCUUGACUGUGAGACCUACAAGUCGAGCAGGGACGAAAGUCGGUCUUAGUGAUCUGACGGUACUGAGUGGAAAGGACGUCACUCAACGGAUAAAAGUUACUCUAGGAUAACAGGCUGAUCUCCCCCAAGAGUUCACAUCGACGGGGAGGUUUGGCACCUCGAUGUCGGCUCAUCGCAUCCUGGGGCGGUAGUACGUCCCAAGGGUUGGGCUGUUCGCCCAUGAAAGCGGUACGCGAGCUGGGUUCAGAACGUCGUGAGACAGUUCGGUCCAUAUCCGGUGUAGGCGUUAGAAUAUUGAGAGGAGCCUUCUUUAGUACGAGAGGACCGAGAAGGACAUACCUCUGGUGUACCAGUUAUCGUGCCAACGGUAAACGCUGGGUAGCUAUGUAUGGAGUGGAUAACCGCUGAAAGCAUCUAAGUGGGAAGCCCACCUCAAGAUAAGUAUUCUC